GCGUAUAUUAAAGUUGUUGCAGUUAAAACGCUCGUAGUCGGGUUUCGGGUCGGGCCGAGCGGUCUGCCGAUGGGUAUGCACUGUUUGGCGCGGCCUUCUUUCCGGAGACCGCGGCUACUCUUAACUGAGCGGGCGUGGGAGACGGAUCGUUUACUUUGAAAAAAUCAGAGUGUUUCAAGCAGGCAGCUCGCUCUUGCAUGGUACAGCAUGGGAUGAUUGAAUAGGACUCCGGUGCUAUUUUGUUGGUUUCGAACACCAGGAGUAAUGAUCAACAGGGACAGUCAGGGGCACUCGUAUUCCGUCGAGAGAGGUGAAAUUCUCAGACCAAUGGAAGACGAACCACUGCGAAAGCAUUUGCCAGGGAUGUUUUCACUGA
This 376-nucleotide ribosomal RNA is filed under the name uncultured Phaeocystis. Its description in RNAcentral is "SSU rRNA". It matches the Rfam family "Eukaryotic small subunit ribosomal RNA", at positions 597 to 976 of the family's 1831-position model. The record is from RNAcentral. Lineage: Eukaryota; Haptophyta; Phaeocystales; Phaeocystaceae.